Molecule: ribosomal RNA, 993 nt
Filed under: Triticum aestivum (bread wheat)
Lineage: Eukaryota; Viridiplantae; Streptophyta; Magnoliopsida; Poales; Poaceae
Description: partial small subunit ribosomal RNA
Source: RNAcentral
AAAGACUGGAUAGAAGAUUGGUCAGAUGAUGAAAAUUCAGAUCGUGGAGAUCGGUCAAAGAAUGGGAACGAAUGGGACGAUCUUAAUAUCGAUGAGCUUGAUGAUGAUCAGGAAAACAACUCAGAGCUCUCGAAUGAAGAUUACAUUAGUCAGGCACGGAACUCAUUUCCGAAUGUCAUAAUGCGUACGACUAUUACGUCGUCGGUCAUCAUGAGUGAGGUGACACAAGAUGAUGGGGCAAAGAAUGUCCAAGAUAUUGCCAGUGCAGAUGAUAAGAGGGAUAUGUUCAUGCAGAUAAUGGAAAUGACCUUUACGUCUCACGAUGCUACGUAUGAUUUCUACAACAGCUAUGCUAGAGAUAAUGGUUUCAGCAUUAGAAAGAAUAAGGUCAGACAAGGGAAACGUGACGGCAAGUUGCUAACCGAGGAAGGACACAGCCGUAGGCUCAGAGCCGAGACACGCUGCUUUUGCGAAGCGCACCUGACCGUCAAGCUUGACCAAAAGCGUGGGGUUUGGUAUGUUGAAAGUUUUGAAGACAAGCAUAGCCAUAUGUUGGCAGGACCGGACGAGGUACCUUUUCUUUGGUCCCACAGAAAAAUCAAAGAGUACCAGAAGCAUGAGAUAAUGUCCAUGGGAGCUGCAGGGAUUAGAAUUCACGACAUGAUGGAUUCCUUCAUCAACAAACAUGUAUGGUACGGCGGUGUUGGUUUUACCAGGUGUGAAAUAUACAACCUUUGCGCUAGGGAGAAGAGGAAGCUGCUUUCAAAAGGUGAUGCUGCCACAGCCAUAGGCAUCAUGGCCAGUAGGAAACAGAGGGAUCCUAGCUUCUUUUUCGAGUACAAGCUAGAUAAGGAAGGACAUUUGAAUAGGAUGUUCUGGUGCGACUCCCAGUCUCGUCAUGACUAUGAGGACUUCGGCGACGUGCUUGUAUUUGACAGCACGUACAAGAUGAACCGCUAUGGUAUUGCCAUUCAUACCUUUUGUUGGUCUUAA